AGCGAACGCUGGCGGCAGGCCUAACACAUGCAAGUCGAACGAACCUUUCGGGGUUAGUGGCGGACGGGUGAGUAACACGUGGGAACGUGCCUUUAGGUUCGGAAUAACUCAGGGAAACUUGUGCUAAUACCGAAUGUGCCCUUCGGGGGAAAGAUUUAUCGCCUUUAGAGCGGCCCGCGUCUGAUUAGCUAGUUGGUUGAGGUAAUGGCUCACCAAGGCGACGAUCAGUAGAUGGUCUGAGAGGAUGGUCAGCCACAUUGGGACUGAGACACGGCCCAAACUCCUACGGGAGGCAGCAGUGGGGAAUCUUGCGAAAUGGGCGAAAGCCUGACGCAGCCAUGCCGCGUGAAUGAUGAAGGUCUUAGGAUUGUAAAAUUCUUUCACCGGGGACGAUAAUGACGGUACCCGGAGAAGAAGCCCCGGCUAACUUCGUG
This 434-nucleotide ribosomal RNA is filed under the name uncultured bacterium. Its description in RNAcentral is "partial 16S ribosomal RNA". It matches the Rfam family "Bacterial small subunit ribosomal RNA", at positions 29 to 507 of the family's 1533-position model. The record is from RNAcentral.